This is a non-coding RNA of Rhineura floridana, 71 nucleotides long. The record is from the annotation of a RefSeq genome assembly. NCBI's taxonomy places the organism in Eukaryota, Metazoa, Chordata, Lepidosauria, Squamata, Rhineuridae.
AGGGAUGUAGCUCAGUGGUAGGGCAUCUGCCUUACUUGCAGAUGUCCCAGGUUCAAUCCCUGGCAUCUCCU